UGUAAGCGUAUACCAAAAUUGUUGCAGUUAAAACGCUCGUAGUCGGAAUUUGGCAGUUCCGGAUGUGUGCACGUCGUGUGCGCACUUCGCGGGGAUUGCUUUUGUGGUCUUGCGUAGGAUGAGGCACUUUUAUUAGUGAACGUCCUCACGCAACCACUUUUUACUGUGAGAAAAUCAGAGUGCUCAAAGCAGGCAUUUGCCGUGAAUGUAUUAGCAUGGAAUAAUAGAAUAGGACUUGGUUCUAUUUUGUUGGUUUGUUGGGACUGAGUAAUGAUUAAGAGGGACAGUUGGGGGCAUUUGUAUUUCGGCGCUAGAGGUGAAAUUCUUAGAUUGCCGAAAGACAAACUGCUGCGAAAGCGUCUGCCAAGGAUGUUUUCAUUGA
This 382-nucleotide ribosomal RNA is filed under the name uncultured eukaryote. RNAcentral's name for it is "partial 18S ribosomal RNA". It matches the Rfam family "Eukaryotic small subunit ribosomal RNA", at positions 592 to 976 of the family's 1831-position model. The record is from RNAcentral.